This 676-nucleotide long non-coding RNA is filed under the name Marmota monax (woodchuck). The record is from RNAcentral. Lineage: Eukaryota; Metazoa; Chordata; Mammalia; Rodentia; Sciuridae.
UUAUUAUUUAUUUCUUUAGCUCUGCCUUUCUUGAUUACUUCUAGCAAAUGGAAACUUUUCUGUAACCCAAAAUUUGCUACAGUCUACUGCCUGGUUAUAGAAGAUUACAAGAGGAGCAGGCUAGAUGUAGAUGAAUAACGUGAUGAAAGGACAAACAUAUCUUAUGUAACGUUGGAUGCCAAAAAUAAUACAGUGAAAUCCUGUUCUGUAAUUCCUAACCAUGUGAGUAUCCUCAUAAAAUAGUCUAUGAACACCUCCAUCUUGGCCUACCAGACUCCAGGUAUCUGUUAUGUCUACUUUUAAUUUAUCAAGACUUUUGGGCUGAUUAAUCACUAUAGGUAACUAUAUUCAAAAUGUUUACAUUUAAUUCUAGGAGAUCUAUGAACUGUCAUUUUUCUUCACCACACAUAAGAGUGUUUAUGACAUUGAACUGUGCACUACUUCAGAGGCAUCUUUAGAAUUCAGCACCAUGGCAGAAGACCCUAUAAGACUGUCCCUUUUGAUAGCCAUUUUCUCAGUCAAAGCCAGUCUAAGUACUGCUGGCAGAACCACCAGGGUCUCAAUCCAAGACGACCAAUGGACAGAGGUGUGUUUCCUGAGAAGAUCUCAGACAGCUCCACCCAACCUCUCCCCUGGCCUCUGUACUUCUACCAAAGUGAUAGAGAAGGACCUGGGU